UUUUAGGAAUAUUUUUCCACUUAGUCCUCCAGGUAAUUCAUAUUUAAACUUUAAGAACUAACUAAGGCUAGUUCUUCCCUGAAUACCUUUACUAGUCCCACUGGUGUUAUUAAGUUCUUCUGUUCUGUAAUGUACACAACUUCAUUCACUGCUCGGUUGUAGCAGUUAGUACAUAGGCUGACACUAGCUCUCUAUUUGCUACUGACAUUGGAUUGUUUUAGAUUCCCAAGGGCAGAAAGCGUGUCAUUUUUCUGGACCCACUUCCCCCAGGAUCCAGCACAGUGUUUGACAUAUGGUAAGUGCUAUGUGAGUGACUGCUGAAUGAAUGAAUAGAAAGACAGAGGGACACUAGAAAGAUGACCAUAUAAAUAACUCUAUCUAUUUAACAUCUGGAAAGACUCUCAUGAUACUCAUCACUGAGGAUAGAAUAACUUCCUGUUAGAUUUACUCCAUAUUCAUCUUCCAAAGGUUGGAGGCCCACAAGGCUGAACCAGUUAUAGAAGUAAAAGACUCUAGGCCAGGGCAAGCAGCCCCCCCCCCAAAAAAAAAAGGAUUACAAUAAUGAUUUUCUUGGGUAUGUCCAGAUUUUCCAGAUAAAGAAAUGUAAGUGGGAGGUCCCAUUGUGGCACAGCGGAAACGAAUCUGAAUAGUAACCCUGAGGUUUUGGGUUCGAUCCCUGACCUGGCUCAGUGAGUUGGGGAUCUGGCAUUGCCUUGAGCUAUGGUGUAGGUUGCAUACAUAGAUCAGAUCCUGAGUUGCUGUGGCUGUGGCUACACCAGCAGCUGUAGCUCCAAUUUGACCCUUAGCUUGGGAACCUCCAUAUGUUGCAGGUGUGGCCCUAAAAAAAUAAAAAAGAAAGGAAGAAAAGAAACAAGCAAAAUACUGAGUCAUGUAGUCCUGUAGUAUUUAAAAACUGUGACCUUUCUAGGAGGUUGCUUAGUCCUGAGCCACAUCACUUUCCAUUUUUUCUUUCCUCCCCUCAUGUUGGCCUUGGGUUCUUCUUCAUAGAAUCUUAAUUAGUAUAGAUGCAUUUGCUCCUUCUCUUCCAAAGUGGGUUCCAACAGAAACUAAAGUAUAAGUUCAUAGCUUCCUAAAGCUAAAAGAAAUUUUAGGGAUCAUCUCAUGCAGCCUCUCCAUUUUGCAAACUUAGAGGCAUUUGGGAGAGCUUUAGGAAAUGUCCAAUCUAUGGCAAUUACCUGUGUAACUGGGUAGGUCUGAGCCUCGUUGGCAUAGGAGGACCAGUGAGGUCAGAUAAACCUGAACAUUCAAAUCAUUUAGGAAAUUGGGUCCCCUCUUAGAGCUUCUCUAUUUCCACUAAGUUCCAGGGUAUAUGUUCUUUGUCCCUGGCCCCUUCCCUAAGGCCCCAUGCUCACAGGGUCCUGCUCUGGUCCCCUCUCUUAGCAUAGUCCUACCUGUGUACUACCCACUUCUAUAGCAGUACUCCUAGGCUAUCGCACAGGAGUCUUUUUUUGGGGGGGAAAGGGAGUGGUCGAGGAGGUAGGAGGAAAGGUGGGAGUGGGGGAAGGAAGCAUGUUGAGAAACAUAAAAAUAAACUCUUCCCCAGCUUUGUUAUUGGUAAGCCAGAGGACUAUGAUCCAGUGCUCUAGAAUUUGACUCUAAAAUCAUAUCUUGAUUCCAAAACCUGUUUCUGCCACUAGCUAUCUCUUUGCCAUCAGCAAGAUAUGAAACCUUUCUGAAUUUCUAUUUUUUUCUUCUUUAAUAAGGUAGAAAUUAUAAUUCCUUCUUCAUAAGAUUAUUGUAAGGAUUAAAUAGAAAACUAUCAUAAUAUAUCAAGUGCUUAGUAUGAUGCCAGAAGUUGGUAAGCACUCAUCAAAUGGUAUAAAUAUUACUAUACUCAUCUUCAUUAUUCCUAUCACCAUCACAUUAUUUAUUCAUUGAUGUCCUCUCCUUAGAGCACCAAGAGUGUUGUUCUCCUGAUGUACCAAGUAGUGUCGUUUCUAAACAUUGCAAGAAGAAUUUCUACUCCCAUGAAGUUUAGACAUCAACCCAAGCCUAAAAUACAAUGUUUAAUUAAAAUAUUAAUACUAGUUACAUUCCUACAGAAGGAUUGAGGAAGCAAACAUCUUCCCAUUCCCAAUAUAGAAGCUUUCAAAGUUGGUACUGCAAAAGAUUUUAAGGGCUCUGACCCAGCUAAGUAUUAAGCAUUCAUGGUUACCCUCUUGUUAUUAACUGAAAAAAGAAAAAUAAAUUUAAGACAGGGAACCUACCUGCUUUAUAUAAAUAACUUGUAUGAGCAAUCAUUCAAGUUGCCUUUUAAUUGCAAAUAGAUAGGGAUGAAUUCAUCCUCCAAGCAAAUAAAGGGUCCUUAGAUCAGAUAAGGAUGUCCUAUAUUGAAAUAAGUGGUAAGAUUGCCCCCAAAGUUAUUAGUCUCAUAGUCCCAAUCACAGGGGAAAGAUUUUACUAGCUCGGCCUUAGGAUAAGAUUUGGAAGGCCCAGCUUAGUUCAGACAUCUUAAACCACUUGUGGGAUUAGCCCAGACUGUAGCCCAGACUGGUAAAAAAUCUGACUACUUGAUUUACAUAUUUUUAUAUUAUGUAUACUUGAUUAUAUAUAUAUUUGACUGACUACUUAUAUAAUUUAUGAAUCAGAGUCCAUGAAUUAUCUUCGUAAUGACCGGCCCAUCCAGAAAAUAAGUUUUAACAGUCAAAUGAAUACAUUCGAAGCAGCUAUAGACUCUCAAAGCCCUCGUCCUUCACUCUACCCAUGCUGAAUGAGAUCAGCCUUCGAGACUGAGAACACCAGAGAUAACCAACAAGGAGUGAAUAUCCAAAUUGUAUAAAGAAAUCACACAACUCAAUAUCAAAAAAACCCAAACAAUCCCAUUGAAAAACUGGCAGAGAACCUGGAUAGACAUUCUUCAAAGACGACAUACAGAUGGCCAACAGACACAUGAAAAGAUGCUCAAAUGAUUAAUCAUCAGGGAAAUGCAAAUCAAAGCUAUACUGAGAUAUUACCUUAUGCCUGUCAGAAUGGCUACUAUCAACAAGUGAAGAAAUAACAAGUACGGGGAAGGGCAUGGAAAAAGGGAAUACUUGUGCACCAUUUGUGGGAAUGUAAAUGGGUACAUCCUCUAUAGAAAACAGUAUGGAGAUUCCUCAGGAAAAAUGUGAAAAUAAGACUACCAUACAAUCCAGCAGUUUUACUAUUGGGUAUUUAUCCAAAGAAAACAAAAACACUAAUUUGAAAAAAUAUAUGCACCCCUUGGUCCAUUGAAGCAUUAUUUGCAAUAACCAAGACAUGGGAGCAAUCUAAAUGCCUUCCAUCCACAGAUAAGUGGAUAAAGAAGACACACACACACACACACACACACACACAGGAAUAUUACUCAGACAGAAAAAGAAUAAAAUUGUGCCAUUUGCACCAAUAUCAACAGACUUGGAGAAUAUUAGGGCUAAAUGAAAUAGAUUAGACAGGAAAAGACAAGUAUUGUAUGAUCUCAUUUAUAUGAGGAAUCUAAAAAAUAAGCAAUCAAAUAAACAAAACAAAGCAGAAACAGGCUUAUAGACAAAGAAAGCAAAUUUGUAGUUUCCAGAUGAGAGAUGGGUGAAUGACUGGGUGAAAUAGAUGAAGGGAAUUAAGAAAGACAAACUUAUAAAAUAAAGAAGUCACAAGCAUGUAAUAUACAGCAUAAGGAAUACAGUCUAUAAUAUUAUAAUAAUUUUGUUUGGUGACAGAUGGUUACUGGACAGGUUGUGGUGAUUAUUUUGUACUGUAUUUGAUUGUUAGAUCACUAUGUUAUAUACCUGAAACUAACAUAAUACUGUACAUCAACUACAAUUAAAAAAAAAAAA
RNAcentral lists this long non-coding RNA (3812 nucleotides) under Sus scrofa (pig). RNAcentral describes it as "lncRNA (ENSSSCG00000060824.1)". The record is from RNAcentral. Lineage: Eukaryota; Metazoa; Chordata; Mammalia; Artiodactyla; Suidae.